This 12894-nucleotide long non-coding RNA is filed under the name Gallus gallus (chicken). Its description in RNAcentral is "lncRNA (ENSGALG00010014772.1)". The record is from RNAcentral. Lineage: Eukaryota; Metazoa; Chordata; Aves; Galliformes; Phasianidae.
CUUAAUUUCCUUGCCUCCGUCACAAUAUGUAUGUAAGAAGGCACAGCUGAGCCCUUGGGGCUAUGUAUGAGAAGGGAGAGGGAAGAUCUCCUGGGCUGAGUGUGUUUAAGCAAUUUCCCUCUGUGCGGAUGUGGACUCCUGGGGUUGUUGGUAUCAGGUUCUCUACUGCUGCAAUGGGGAUUGCUGGGGUGAACUGGGAUUUGAAGAGGAUUGAAGCUGGCUCUGAGGAAGGUGACCUGAACCCAGCACCAGCUAGACGCAAGGUUGGGUUUGGUGCCAUCUGUGCCAAGGGUAGAUGACACUCACAAUGGCAAGCAAGGGGGAUUGAAGAGCUCUGCUCCUCGGCUUGUGAGACAGAAUGACCGCAGGUGCUGAGAGAGAGCAGGAAAUCAUCUUUGUAAAGCUGUCCAGAAAGCCUUGAAUUCAGCCUUAUCUGGAGGAUUACCCCACGCAGUUCAGUUCUUGGCAUUCAGCUCCUCUGCAGUCCCCAGCUUCAGCACAGGAAACUCCUUCACCUAGCUGCUGCCAGCAUGCUUUUGGCGACCCUGGCUGUCCCGUCAGCUGUUACAGGCCAUUAAAGGAUUUGUUUCUCGGCGUAUGAAAAGGCUUAAUUCAAUUCUCAUUCUCUUCUGGCAUUCCUCGGAGAGCCUUCUAGGCUGUCAUCUACUUCUGGCUUCGCUCAGACUCUGCAGUCCAAAGAGUCAUGUGCAGUGACCCGCCACCAUCCCUGCUUCAGACUCCAGAGUCAGGUAGUUAGAUGAUUCCCUUUCAUGUAAGUACUUUUUUAUCUUUCUUAUCUGUGGAGGGAAGCCAGCACAAGUCAUCUUUGAAGGUAAGGAAAAUGGAACCAAUGUUUUGUAUCCCAGAAAUCUCAUUAUUUUCCAACUAAUCUGCUGACCUCGAAUGCAGGGGUUUGGCAGUUUCUUUAAGGGCUGUUGCUAAACAGAGCAGAAGCAGGUCCAUCUUGGGAAAGUCUGCAUGGGUACAAUAUGAAUUUUCUGUAAGGUGAAUUCUUUGGGCUGUGUCAGAAUGAGACACUGUGGGUGACUUGCCUUUGUCUCAAGCUUGAUGGUAGUUGCCUUUGUCUCAAGCUUGAUGGUAGAUUUCACAAGAGGAAAAAAGUGUGUUUAAGAAGUUACUUGAUGCUGAUCUGUCCAGAGUUUUUUUCCCAGGCUGGAUUUAGGGAAGGAUUAUCUCAGAUUUUCAUUUAGUUCUGAAAUCCUGGGUAUUGGUUUUAUAAACUAAACCCCCUUCGCAGCAGGUUGCUUGUUCUGUAUUGUUGUUUUAGCUUGGUGCAUAGAAAGGAAUUUAAAUUCACUGACAGGGUGGGGCUAGCUCCUCGCUGGGGUAAAUCAGCAUAGUUCAGAUAUUUAAAGGCAGAUGCAUCAGUCCUGGCAGCCGAGGAUCUGGCUUACUUUGAUUAAAAUCUGAUGAAGAUUACUCAGCCUUACCAAGGGACUUGGAUUACCAUUCUAUAAAAAGAAGGGCAGGAGAGCAGAGGACAUUAAAUAUAAAAAUAAUCCAACGAAGGAUGUGAAGCUAAAAGCGUGGCACGUUGAACAAUGAUGCAAACACCCUACUGAAACAGGUGGAGGGCCGCAGGGCUGGUGGGUGCACGCAAGGCUGGAAGCUAGGUUUGAGUCAGAAAGACAUUGCUCUUGUCACAGCCCUGGUCUUGUCUUUUAAAGGCAGAAUGUUCAGAAAGAGAGCCUCGCUCCUUAGAAAAUCCCCAGGGGAGUCUUGCAGGAGAAGAAGUGGGUGACAAAUCCUCUGCCUCUGCUUCCUCGGGGACCCAGGCUAGUGCCAAAUCUCACUACAAAGAGGUGAUUAGAGCUGAGGAACAGAAAGUCAGCUCUUACAGAUCUGAAAGCUUGAAAUGUGCAUCAUCUUUAGGGUUUCUUACAGAGGUUGAACUUCACCUCUCCCUUCUAUCGCAGCGUUCGUUUUCCUGGUUCUUUGUUCCUUUGAAAGCAUGAAGUGUAUUUAGGGGCUGUUAUUACUCCAUGUGAUUGUGCUCCAUGGGCAAUGACCGAUAGAAGGGCUGCAAUGAGCCCCUUUUUUUUUUGGCCUUUUAAACGUUUCUGUCAAACCUUUCAGCACAUGUCUAGCUUUCCCAAGAUUUCGUAUCCAGUCCCUUAAAAUCAAUACAAUCUGGUCUUGCCUCUGCAGUGGAGCUAUUGAUAGGGAAGAUGCACUUGGGUCUUCAUCUAACUGCUUUUUGAAGCCCCUAAACCCAUUUGUCUCUUCUUUUGAUGGAGCUUGCUGCCUUGCUCAAUGGCUUGCUUGCAUAGGAAGCACCUUCCUUGCUGACCUCUGUUAAAAACGUGGAAGGUCUUCAAGUAGAGUUGCAGGACUUGUGAUUUGAGUGUCCUUCUUUACCCAGACCAAGGAGAACAGAGUGCAUGGUGCGUUGGCUGGUCUGGAAUCUGUCUAGGGUGGCUGGAAGAUGCUUUAAUGGUGUCAGAAGGCUGCGGGAGCCUGGACAGUGAGGUUGAGCGGCCUUAAGAACGUUGCUGACUUAAACUGACGCAUCUAAAUGCGCUGGAGGAAAGACGAGAGGGCUGUUUGGGGACCUCCUGGGUGAUUACAUACAUGGCUGGUCAGCGACAUCGCCUGAGUGCCCCGGCAGCUAUGCCAGUCUUCCAGUUUUCUUUCAUUGCAGUUCGGGUCGGAUGAGGAUAAGAUUGUGUUUUAAUAAGUGUUUGUUAGGGAGUGCUUCCCCCCCCGCCUCCCACCCGCAUGAAACUGUUUAUUUUCCUUGCAGUAACACGUGUGUUGCUCAGCUUCUGCUGUUCCAUGUGUCGUGCUCUGUUACUCUGCCUUGCUCGCAGCCGCAGAGCAGGGGGAACACUGCCAAGGCUUUUUCUGGGAAUUUGCUCUGGUCGUGCUGCUUCCCCGGGAGCACUCAGCGGAUGCAUGUUGUUUGCAGGGGGGGGGAACACUCAAAUGUCAGCAUCUGAAGGGAUCACGAAGGAAGCAAGGCGAGCACCAACUACUCUUCCACCUCUCAGAGGUGCCUGCAUACACACAGCCUUGGUAAGUGGUGGGCGAUGACUUGUUGAGAAAUGAUAUUGCUAAGCAGUAAAUGUGACCCUCUUGUGCUAUUUCAGAAAGAGAUUUUGCUUAAGGCAGCCUGCCCCAAAUUGCCAGCUGCAAAAAUGGGGGCUGCAUGUGGCAGUGAUACCCCAGCCAAGUUCACUCCUCUCUCUUGCUGAGAUGCAGUUGUAUUUUCACUUGGGCUGGAUGCGAAACAGUGCUUAAAACACCACAAAUUGAGAUGCAUUGGAGAACACCUUUUUAAGUCACCUGCCUUCUUGUUGCAGACACGAUUAUACCUACGCAGACUAAACUGCUGCAGGGAAGGCAGAGACGCAGUGCUCACUGCGGCUGCUUGGGCCGUUCAUUUGUUAGCAUGGGUUUGGAUUUCUGAUGACUCAGAAGGGAGCUCGGCUUCCUCUCAGCUAUUUGCAGAUCUAAAGAUCUGUUGUACUGUGGUUGUGAACCAGGACUCUGAACGUUGUGCAGAGCUGGGACCAAAAGCUGCCUCAGUCUCAGUAUGUAAAAGCAGUGAACUGGUUUCCACGUGUUGGCUUUCCACGUGUUGGGUUUGUAUGGGGCACUCACAAGCAACUUGCAGCAAAACAGUAAGGUGAGUGCUUGAGAGGGGUCCUUGCUGUUUGCAUGGGUUUCUUUCAGGCUAGGGUGAAGGUUAAAUAUUUCAAGCUUCUUGUUGAAGCCUCAGGAGUAGAAUAAGAAUGAGAUGAAUGCGGUGCAAAUGCCCUAACUCCAGGGGCAGGUGCUUCACUGCUGUGAGAGCUGGCAAUGCUAAAUAUCUCAUACUUUCUGACAUACAAUUUCUUCCAGACCUGGAGUGUUUUACCCAUUAUCCUCAUAUACAAAACCUGAGGAAUAUGUGGUGGUAAAGCCCCUCUUUGUGUGGUACAUACACGUGAGUCUUUUGUACCAGAUUUGUAACAGCAGCUGCAGAGCUCUUCACCAGAACCACAUGGUAAUGGUAAGCAGUGGUCACUGGUUUGCAUAGCUCCAUGGCCUGCAGCACCUCUGUGCACCCACUGCAGGUACGUAGCCUCAGCUCUGGGUACAGUACGUCUCUUCACGCUGUGCUCUGAGCUCCUGGGCUACACUUGAUCAUCUAUUCCUACGUGGGUUUUCCUACCUGGGUUUUCUCUUUCCAAGGUCUCAGACCCAGCUGUACCACCCUUCCCUCUUAUCUUCAGCUUGCUUUCCUGAGAAAACAGGGUUAAUGUGUCUGGCUCCCUCUUGCCCACCCCUAAUAACUUUCCAGCCUGAUGACUGAUUCCAGCUGUGUGUGCCAGAGAUCUGAAAGAUAAUGAGUUCCUACUGGCUUGAUAUAAAUAGAUGGCGAGGGGAAGACUUUAUCUUUUCCCCUCUCUGUCGGGAGAGUUCAUUCCUUAUCAGUCCAAGAGCAUCUGUGUGAGGUGAAACAAGAGAUGUUAUGAAUGCCUAUGGGGAAAGCUGCACUUGAAGCUGGUAUCCUACUGCGUCCUGGAGAACCCACCUGUGAUGUGGGGGUUCCCAUUGGAGGGGGCCCUUCCAGCCUCUGGCAGUUGGCUGGGGGCAGCUUUCCCUGCAGCAGCACUUGCCUCCCCCAGGCCACUCUGUUUAAUCUAUUUAAAGCUCUUUAAUCAAAACCUAUGUCUACGGACCCUGGUGUCAAUGGCCCAGCUUCCGGGUUUUUUUUUUUUUUAACUAUUUUAUGUCCACAGCAUGGGAUGGACUUAAUUGCCAAGGGCUGGAAGCGGGACUGCAAAGGUAUUUUAAUUACAUCUGAUUGCUGCAUUCUGCAGCCUUGCUCUGUCAGUUGUUCUACCACGGCACUGUGUAGAGCCCACUUGGACCAGCGCAGGCACAUUGGCUGUGUGUGGGCUGAUCACAGAGGAAAACAGCAGUACAUCGGUCUGGACGUCAUUGGGGCUGUAUCUUUUCUCUCUACUCUGACUUUAGGGCAACAGAUUCUUCCCCAUUAGAGUACUGUAGUCCUUCCAUAUCCACGUCACUUAGAAGCAGUAGUACCAAAUUCACCCUGCUCUAUUGCAUGGGCAUCACACAGGCAGAGCAGGAGUACUUGCUCUAAGGAGAACCUGCUUUAUUGCUCCAGACACAUCCCUGCAAGACUUUUCCCCAGCUCCUUUGUUGGUUUCAAGGCUGGUCAGCCUCAAGGGUCUUCUCUUUUUUUUCUGUCAAGUAGGAGUGCUCUUUUACUGUAAGGGAAGGAGCUGUCUCUAAGUCUAUUCGAGGGAGGCAGGAGGGAGUGAAACAAGAAAGCUGCUGGCCUCUCUGUGCUGACAUACUCAAAUUGGACCCUUGGGGGCUGGAUUGGUGCAUGGAGUAAGCUGAAUCCCAUGGAGGGACAGGCAGGAGCCCUGCAGGUAAGGUAAAGCACCUGCUUGGAAGUGUCUGCUCACCAAUGGAGAGCAGCUCCAGCCAAGCGUGUAUGAAACGAGGGUAACUAUUGCAUCUUCACCUGGCUCUAGCUGUAUUUUCAGUAGUGCUCAGGCCUGGCAGUAUGCGCACCUCUACCUGGAUGUUUUCUGGUGCAUUCAGCAAGUGGCAGCUCCCAGAGCCCAGACUCUGACCUGCCUUAUCAAAGUGUUCAGCACGCAGAAGGCAGAGAAAGGGCUUGAACCUGACCCAGGGCCUGGGGAAAGGAAAGUCCAAAGAGGAGGAGGGCAGAGGUAAGGCUGUUUUUGUGCAGCUGCUAAUAAGCACUUCCGUUCCUGCCAAAGCUUUUACUUCUGAUUUAAGAGGAACCUCAAUAUCCACAAUUUUUCUAUGUUGGAACGUGUUUGUGUUUUUAACAACGCUCAUCUGUGUUUCUUCCUCUUAAUAGAUACAACCCUGCUGCAGAUUAUAGACGUGUUUUGGUUGAGAUUCUCUGUGCUUGAUGCAUUGUCUGCCUGCAACGCAGGGCAAACUCUACUCCUCCCUUCUGGCCCGGCCUGUAAUGAUGGAUUAAGUAGAGACAGAAAACUUUGGGAACGUGAACUGAGCCCUUACAUUUCUUCAGUGCAAAAUGCUGUUGCCCUGUUCUUUUGAUGAGGAGAGGAAGGUGCUGAGUCUUUCCUGUCCUGGCCGUGUCCAUGGACCGAGCUGUCAUACCAUUCUGAGAGCUGGAGGAAGGAAAUGGACUGAGUCUGCCCUCAGAAUUCAGGUCCUUGUCCAGGACUCUGGGAACCUGCCUGCGUGUGAUUGACGGCAUCACGUGAGCGUGUAUGGGGCUGCAUCUCAUGCUGUCGGGUCAGAGAUUACCUCCAAGCAGCCAAUACUCAACAUUCAGUCAGAAAAGAUGCAAAGAAGCAGAGCCAUUCCCCUCUCUGUGUCAUCUGCCUCUGAGAGUGGGAGAGUGCUGGCAGAGCGCUACCGGGUCUGUACUGGUAUAGAGAGGAAGGCUCAGAUUUGAUGAUUUGUCCAUUAUCUGGUGGUGGAUACAGCCUAACCUGGGCUCAGAGCAUCCCAAGGUCUGUAUCCUAGUGCAGGAACUGGCUGCUGCUGCUCUCUUCUGAAUAGACAGCUUUCUCCAGCCUCACAGCAUGCUAAUGUAGGCCAGUCACCUUCACCACAACUCCUGGCGCAAGAUAUUCAGCAGACUUGAUGCUUCAUAGUAGGCUGAAUCUGGUAUAACCAAGGCAGAAUUUCUACCUGCCAGUAGUGAAGUAAUGCCCUGUGAUUUCAAGUGACCACUGGUUUGACAGCAGUAGUGAAAGGGAAAGGCAUGAAUAGGCCGGAUAUCAGGAAAACCUUCUCAGGAGUGAUGAGGCUGUGAAAUGGACUGCCCAGGGAGGUGGUGGAGUCACUGUCCCUGGAGGUGUUCAAGAACUGUGGAGACGUGGCACUGAGGGACGUGGUUUAGUGAGCAAUAAUGGUUGAUGGGUGGACAGCUGGAUUAGAUGGGUCCGACUAGAGGUCCUCCAAUUAGAGGUCUUUUCCAGUCUAAAUGAUUCUAUGAAAGCAGUCGACCGUUUUCUUGCAGUCUCUGAGGAGCUUGGAUAUGGUGUCUGAAACGAGCUAAGGAAGCCACCUAAUCUCUGAGCACAUCCACCUUCUGCAGCAUACACCCUUCCAGCCACAAAGAGGUCCUGAGUCCCUCAGUGGCUGCAAAGAACAGCAGGUAGAUGGAGCAGACAGAGAUGGAGAGCAUUCUUUUGUUGCUUUUUUUUUGGGGGGGGGAGUAUCGUUGAAGAAUCAGGGUGACAAAAAUAUUUUGAUGGAAGUGACUAUGUGAAAUAUCUUUUCAUUUUGAUUAUUUGAAAAACAAAAACUGUUCAUGGGUUUUAAAAUUCAUGUCCCCUCCGGGUUGCUUUGUUUUGUUUUGUUUCUUAUUCCUUCUCCCUUAUUCCUCAGAGGAAGCCAUCCAAACCUACACGGUGCGUCAUUUCUUGAGGAAAUGCAGUGUGAUCUUUUUUUCCAGUUUAACCUGGGCUGAAAAAUCUUCUGGUGUUUCAUUUGCCUGAGAAAUCAGAAAAAAAAAGCUUGGAUGAAACAGGAAUCUGACUGGUUCACAGGGAACCUUCUUGGUUUUGGAGACCCAUUUGGGUGGGGUAGCUGCAGGAGCUCUUUGCUGUGCAGGUUGGGGAGGAGGUGAUGCCAUCUUUGCCUGGGCCAUACUUUGUGCCCAAUGCCUUCUCCAGGGGUGAGGGGCAUAAGGGGUGCAGAGCUGUGUCUUGGUUGCAGCAGGGAACUGCUACCACUGAAGUAUGAUUCUCAGCUUUCUGGAGUUGUGGAAAACAUCUGGACAAUGGUUGAAAUUGGAAGAGCGAAGGGCUAUCCUGGCUUUUGAGGGCAUAUCAUGGGAUGUCCCGCAGGUGGCUUGUUGGAGGUGAACCACAGAGGGAGGACUGCACUGGAGAGGCAUAGAGGCUCACAUGGGACGGGAGUGGUGGCAACUGCCUGUAUGCCUGAAAGCAGGGCAAGCAGUGGGCUGGGGGUGGAGGAGACCACCUCCGCCUGUUGCUGCCAUCUCCACGAGCUGCCAGCUCUGCCGUGUAGCUUUGCCCAGAUCUGCAGUAGAGCUGCUCAUCCCCAGCCCUGCCAUCCCUGUGCCCCACAUGCUGCCUCUCCUAUAAAUAGCCGGAUGGGAAGCAGAGCGCAGAGCCGCCGCAGAUGGCCCCCAGUUCCACGCGCACUCAUGUGUGAGAUCCCAGAGAGGGGCUGUCAAUUCCUUGCCUACAGCCACCCAUGCAACCUCAUUAAGGAUGGUGUCGUCUUCCUUAACCCCCAUCGCCCCCUCCCUCCCCACUUCAACGUGCCUCCAUUUGAGCACCCUUAUUAAACGUGCACUUCUAAGCAAGGAGCGCUGACUUCCCCUUAAUUGAGGCAUAAUAAUUAGAGCAUUAACACAUUAGGAGAGUGAGACAGCAUGUUUAGCUUUUGUGAUUAAUUAUCUGAGGAUUGUAAUAAGUUGUUAAGACAUUAAUUACUCUGGCAUGUUUAUUGCUCUUUAUUGCAGAACUGACACUUGGUGGAAGAGUUGCUGGUGUGCCUGGCGGUGCACCGUGAGGUGGGCUGGCCAGGGGAGACCUCUGCUCCCCCAUAGACACUGAGCUGCUGCUUGGGAAUGGAUCUAGGGGAGCAGAAACAGCUCCUGAACCUCCAGCAGGACACCUCGGGAUGGAAGUGGUGUCUGAAUCUCUUAGAGUCGUAGGAUUAUGAAGGUUGGAAUAAAACACUGAGAGCAUCAGCCCAUCCCCACCGUGCCCACUAAACCAUGUCCCUCAAUGCCGCGUUCUCCCUCAUCUUGGGGCAGCCUGGGAGCUGGAAGGCUUAUUUUUAUGGAUGGUUUCAGCUGGAUUUCUCUCUUCUUUCAAACAAAGUGUUUCCUCUCGGAUGGUUUGAGCCUGCCCUCAUUUGGAUCUUUGUUUUUGCAAAUCCAAGUCAGCGUGGCUCAUUGUGCCUGGAUCUGAGGAGGAUGGCUGUCUGUUAACGACAAGCUGAAGUUCAGCGUGUCGGCGGUGGUCAGGGAGUGAACCAGGACCCCAGUGGCCUCGCUUGGCUCUUGAUCAGAUGAAUUUUCUUCUGGAGAGCUGGGAGGUGGGUUAGGGAAGGCUGUUGCUGUGGCAGCAGGAGUGGAUCAGCCCUCUGCAGCCUGUUCUUCACACAGCAAGCUGCUCAGCGACCUGUCAGAGCUGUGCUGAUCAGAUGGGGGCUGAAGGCAGAGUUCAGAGCAGGAGGAUGGGUGGGUCCAUGUGCUGCUGUGACAGAGAAAAAAGGAAGCAGGAGGCUGCGAUGGGCCUGUUCCAGCCUUCUGCUUUUCCCAUGAGUUGCACAGUGCCAGAGUCUUGCUGUCCAGCUCUUUGGGUGGGGGACAGCACAGGAGAAAUGGGGGGAAAUGGAGUAACAGCCCCAGCCACUGGCAUGGAGAAUAAAACUGGGAAAAUGGUGAAAGUCGAGAAGGUGAGAAAGCUGUGAGUUUUGUGUGUUUGCUGUUGGUUUGAUAUUGGAUGGCCCCAUCCCUGCCGACAGCCAAGGUCAGGCUGGAUGGGCUCUGAGCACCACUAGGGCUGUGAGUGUCCCUGCUCAGUGCAGGAGGGUUGGACCAGAUGGCCUCUGAGGGUCCUUUCCAGCUCAAAACGAUGCUGUGGUUCCUUGGGGAGCCCUAGAGCUGAAAUGUCUGGUUUCCAGCCUAUGGCAGUGCCCUUGUGGCUUUGCAACACGUGCUUGUGUCUUGGGGUAGCAGCCAAGGGAGUGGGAGGGGGUCUUUAAACGUGAAGACCCUGUCCGGUUCGCCUUUCCCAAGGACAGACUGUCUCACUGUGGCUCCCACCAGCUCAAUCUGCUGUCACUGUGUCACUGGCACUGGUGGCCAGGGAGCUGCACAAGGCACUGAAUGCCCUCCUCGUGUGCGAGCUGGGAUCCAUCUUGUGUCAGCUGCCUUCAGCACCUCCGAGCCCACACUGCCUUGCUGAAGCCCAGCCUGAAUAUGGCAUUUGCUGUCAGGUGGCUGAUUUCUGCCUGCAGAAUAUGGAGAGCGUCAGCCUGGCAUUUCCCACUUGCCUCCUAGGGACAAAGCAGGUCAUGACUUCCGUGUAUUAUCAUUAAAAAGAUAAUUUCCUCUAGAUGUGUGCAAUAAGACAAUGGUGCUGACCUGUGAUCCUGGCAUUGCACAGCAUUAAUGAUUUCCCUUUGCAGGUAAUAAGCAGCAAAUGUACACAUUUUGGGGAGAUCUGAAUUAGUUUUUUUCCCUCCUUUUAAGACUGCUGUCUUCCUAGGCCAGACUUAAUUAGCAGACCUCAUUAUUUCCUGAAAUGUAACUUGACUUCCAUUGAAUGAGAAUUGUUCAGUGGAUGGGGAGCAGCAGAGCGGUGCUGCAAUAUUCAUAUUGUUUAAAUUGCAACAUUAACAUUUCAUGCCGCUCUUGGCAUAUUUUCAGGUGCGGCCCUUUAGCUCAAUGCAGUGCUGUGAAAGGUUGGAUCAGAACAAUUAGGAUACAGCGACUGGAUUUCUGGAUUAUUAUUAUUAUUAUUUUUUUUUUAAGCAACACAAGCUUAGAUUCAAUGCCCAUCACUCUAUUUGUUUGGCAGAACAGGGAUUCCAGCGCCCCUGAAGUAAAUGCUUUUCUGGAAUAAAGGAUGUGCUGUAGCACAUGCUCACCUCCUCUCUUAGCAGAGAUGAAGCCCUGCAGGUACAUGCAGUACGUGAUUCGCAGGGCUGGAAGCACCUCCUGGGACUUGACCUUCACUAGCUAAAUAGGAGAACUCCCAAUAAUGCUUCUGGCCACCUAGGCCACAGUCGCACACAAAAAGGCUGUUUCCCACUUUGCCCUUGUUCUUGGAUGCCUCAGGCUGGAGGUGGCACUGUAGUAAUGCCCAGGUCCAAGCGGAUCCUACAUGAGCACGUGGAUUGCACUCCCUAUCUCCAAACAGCCCGUGGGCCUUGGUCCUGCACAGGGGCUCCAGUGACCUUUGCUGCCUUGCCCCAUAGUGUGCUUUCCAGUAGUUUUUCCUGUACUGGAGUUCAGUGUCAAUGAUGGGAGUUAAUGUCAAGGAAUCAUAGAAUACCUGGGUUAGAAGGAACCUUAAAGCCCACCCAGUCCCAACCCUACAGUGGGCUGGCUGCCCCUCCCCCACCAGCUUAGGCUGCCCAAGGCCCAAUCCAGCCUUCCUCGAGCACCUCCAAGGAUGGGACACACGUCUGGGAUUGCCAUGAACCAAGUGCAACACCUUGAAUUUGGCCUUGGCAGUGUCAAGAACAACUCCAGCUUCCACCCUGGAACAACUUAGUUAGGGUCUCUGACUUCAGCCAACCAUGCCUCCCAUUUGUAACGUGUGCAGUGGGAUCCAUGACAUCUUAUCUCCCAUGGAUACGUAGCUUGGGUCAGGGUUCUCUGGUAUCUGGUAAGCUGCUUGUGCUGAACGGAACACCUCCUCUCGUGGGUUAUUUAUAACAUCCUGCUCUCCCACGCAGAUUGUCUGGUGUCUAAUAGUGGAUGAUGCACUACAGUUUGCAAGGUGCUAAUAAUCUCUCUCCUCUGUUUGACAGUCUGUUCCCAUGAGAUUUAUAGACUCUGACUGUCCCUGAGACCUCUGCCUCUCUGUCAGAUCAGGCUGAAAUCUGUUCUCAGUGUCAGAAGCUGCUGCCAAGCAGGCAGGGGAUGGACUGAUGCGUGUGUUUUGCAUCCCAUAAGAACUCAAGCACAGACCUGGGGGGCGAUGGGAGCUCUGAUUGCCAACUUGUGGGUUCAGGAAGGUGAGCCUCCAGGAGAAGGGCCGUGCCCGCAGCCAUCCUGCAUGAGAUGCCGUGCUGCGGGAUGCUCACGGGCUGCACUUCGUGUUCCCAUCGCCUGCGGUGACCAUCACAAGCGGCGCAGCCCCUGUGGGAACGGCCCCUGAGGACAAUAAACGAGCCAGCCCCGAGCUCCAGGCUGCUGUGAAGAAUUGCCUGGCUAAAGGAUAAUGAAUACCGCAGCAGGAGACGGAGCGUUUCUCCGAGGCCAUCCAUCCCCUUUAUCACCCCGCUAACAAGCCCCUGAGCGACUUCAGAGAGGCUUCUGCAGAGCAGCUCAAUCCCUCACCGUGCUGGCGGCUGGGUGCUGGGGGCUCUGCGGGAAGCCACAGCCCCAUCCCACAGAGCAACCACCAGUGCCCUCCAGGGGUCCGUGUAGUGCCAAGGAGGGGCAGAAGAGCCAGGCAUCCUUUUUUUUUCCAAGGCACUUUUGGGCCCUGCAGCACUCUUUGGAGCAUUGCUUUACCCAGCUCCCAGUCUGGCAAAGAUUUCUGAGGUCUGUGCGAGGCUCAGGAGGAGUUUAGUGCUGCUGGCCAGGAGGUGAGUUGGUUCUGCUUCACUUGCAGCACAGCUGAGUCUGUGCACGAGCCCGAUGCAGGGCAGAGAGGGCAGGAGCGAUGUGCUCUUCCUAAGAGCUAAUAAAAGCUGAUUCCUCCCAUAGCUCCGAGCCAGUGGGAAGCAUUAGUGGCUGGCUGAGUGCCUCCCACGCUGUGCAGCGUGCUGGGUGCUUGUCCUCCUGCGGAGGGAAAGGCAUCUCAGCAAGAACUCAGGCAUCCCUCCUAGGAGGGCAAACCAGGCGUGUAGCUGGGCAGCUGGGCAUGGGAGGCGAGUGGGAGCGCGUGGCACAAAAUUCCCAUUUCUGAGCAAGUUCUCCUGCCUAUGCUCAGGGCUUGGGGUGGGAGCGGCACACUCAUGGCCUGACUGGUGUCCAAAAAGCCCCGGUGCUGAAUGCCUCCAUUGAGAAGCUUACGUGUACGUCAGCAUCCCAAGCGUGCUGGUAUGUGGUGUGCCCACCUGCCUGAGUGUGUCUGGGGCACCGCAUGCAGUGUGUAGGCACUCAGCAGGGCUAAUUGCCAGUAAUUGGAAGGCUUCUUUUGUCUCCUCUUUCCUGCAUUAUUUUGCCUUCUCUUCCAG